AUUGAACGCUGGCGGAAUGCCUUACACAUGCAAGUCGAACGGCAGCAUAGGUGCUUGCACCUGAUGGCGAGUGGCGAACGGGUGAGUAAUACAUCGGAACGUGCCCAGUCGUGGGGGAUAACGUAGCGAAAGUUACGCUAAUACCGCAUACGAUCUAAGGAUGAAAGCGGGGGACCGUAAGGCCUCGCGCGAUUGGAGCGGCCGAUGUCAGAUUAGGUAGUUGGUGAGGUAAAGGCUCACCAAGCCGACGAUCUGUAGCUGGUUUGAGAGGACGACCAGCCACACUGGGACUGAAACACGGCCCAGACUCCUACGGGAGGCAGCAGUGGGGAAUUUUGGACAAUGGACGCAAGUCUGAUCCAGCCAUUCCGCGUGCAGGACGAAGGCCUUCGGGUUGUAAACUGCUUUUGUACGGAACGAAAAAGCUCUUACUAAUACUAGGAGUCCAUGACGGUACCGUAAGAAUAAGCACCGGCUAACUACGUGCCAGCAGCCGCAGUAA
Molecule: ribosomal RNA, 502 nt
Filed under: uncultured bacterium
Lineage: Bacteria
Description: partial 16S ribosomal RNA
Rfam family: Bacterial small subunit ribosomal RNA
Source: RNAcentral